UACAGAGGUGGCAAGCGUUGUUCGGAUUUACUGGGCGUAAAGGGUCCGUAGGCGGCUUAGAAAGUUGAAUGUGAAAUCCCGCAGCUUAACUGCGGAACUGCAUUCAAAACUUCUAGGCUAGAGUAUGAGAGGGGUUAAGGGAAUUCCCGGUGUAAGGGUGAAAUCUGCAGAGAUCGGGAGGAACACCAGUCGCGAAGGCGCUUAACUGGCUCAUUACUGACGCUCAGGGACGAAAGCUAGGGUAGCAAACGGG
Molecule: ribosomal RNA, 253 nt
Filed under: uncultured bacterium
Lineage: Bacteria
Description: partial 16S ribosomal RNA
Rfam family: Bacterial small subunit ribosomal RNA
Source: RNAcentral